GAGUUUGAUCGUGGCUCAGAUUGAACGCUGGCGGCAUGCCUUACACAUGCAAGUCGAACGGCAGCACGGGAGCUUGCUCCUGGUGGCGAGUGGCGAACGGGUGAGUAAUGCAUCGGAACGUAUCCUGGAGUGGGGGAUAACGUAGCGAAAGUUACGCUAAUACCGCAUAUUCUGUGAGCAGGAAAGCGGGGGACCUUCGGGCCUCGCGCUCUUGGAGCGGCCGAUGUCGGAUUAGCUAGUUGGUGAGGUAAAGGCUCACCAAGGCGACGAUCCGUAGCAGGUCUGAGAGGAUGAUCUGCCACACUGGAACUGAGACACGGUCCAGACUCCUACGGGGGGCAGCAAUGGGGAAUUUUGGACAAUGGGGGCAACCCUGAUCCAGCCAUGCCGCGUGAGUGAAGAA
This 403-nucleotide ribosomal RNA is filed under the name bacterium enrichment culture clone ALO1_GLFRUDD03F3GA8. RNAcentral's name for it is "bacterial SSU rRNA". It matches the Rfam family "Bacterial small subunit ribosomal RNA", at positions 9 to 412 of the family's 1533-position model. The record is from RNAcentral.